UACGAAGGGGGCUAGCGUUGUUCGGAAUUACUGGGCGUAAAGCGCGCGCAGGCGGCUAUCCAAGUCAGUGGUGAAAGCCCGGAGCUCAACUCCGGAACUGCCAUUGAAACUGUUUAGCUUGAGGAUGAGAGAGGUGAGUGGAAUUCCCAGUGUAGAGGUGAAAUACGUAGAUCUCGGGAAGAACACCAAAGGCGAAAGCACUCUGCUGGGCCGAGACUGACACUGAGGGACGAGAGCUAGGGGAGCGAAAGGG
Molecule: ribosomal RNA, 253 nt
Filed under: uncultured bacterium
Lineage: Bacteria
Description: partial 16S ribosomal RNA
Rfam family: Bacterial small subunit ribosomal RNA
Source: RNAcentral